Molecule: long non-coding RNA, 393 nt
Organism: Lathyrus oleraceus (garden pea)
Lineage: Eukaryota; Viridiplantae; Streptophyta; Magnoliopsida; Fabales; Fabaceae
Exons: 5
Source: RefSeq, a predicted model, not a curated record
UUGUUAACAUGACUCUACAGGCUUUUGGAUAACAAUAACUUAUCGGGAUAUCUUCCACCAGAAUUCUCCAAGUUACACAGUUUGGAAAUACUGCAACUUGAUAACAAUAAUUUCAGCGGGAAUGGAAUUCCUUCUACCUAUGAAAAUUUACCCAGGCUUGUAAAAUUGAGUCUGAGAAAUUGCAGCCUGCAAGGAGCUAUUCCCGAUUUAAAUUCAAUACCAAGUCUUAAAUAUUUGGAUCUUAGCUGGAAUCAGUUCACUGGGUCUAUACCGUCAAAUAAUCUUUCAACCAAUAUGACAACUGUUGAUUUGUCCCAUAACAAACUCAACGGAUCAAUUCCCCGAGGCGGAAUAUAUCCUUAUCUUCAAAGAUUGUGAGAAUAUACUCGUCAA